GUAGGUUAUGGUGAUAUGCGACCCGUAACACUCUGGGGUAAACUCAUCGGUUCCCUCUGUGCCAUUGCGGGGGUUCUAACCAUUGCCUUACCUGUACCUGUGAUUGUUUCCAAC
This is a non-coding RNA of Opisthorchis viverrini, 114 nucleotides long. NCBI's taxonomy places the organism in Eukaryota, Metazoa, Platyhelminthes, Trematoda, Opisthorchiida, Opisthorchiidae. The record is from Rfam.